GUAAAGAGCUCGUAGGCGGUUUGUCGCGUCUGCCGUGAAAGUCCGGGGCUUAACUCCGGAUCUGCGGUGGGUACGGGCAGACUAGAGUGCAGUAGGGGAGACUGGAAUUCCUGGUGUAGCGGUGAAAUGCGCAGAUAUCAGGAGGAACACCGAUGGCGAAGGCAGGUCUCUGGGCUGUAACUGACGCUGAGGAGCGAAAGCAUGGGGAGCGAACAGGAUUAGAUACCCUGGUAGUCCAUGCCGUAAACGUUGGGCACUAGGUGUGGGGGACAUUCCACGUUUUCCGCGCCGUAGCUAACGCAUUAAGUGCCCCGCCUGGGAAGUACGGCCGCAAGGCUAAAACUCAAAGGAAUUGACGGGGGCCCGCACAAGCGGCGGAGCAUGCGGAUUAAUUCGAUGCAACGCGAAGAACCUUACCAAGGCUUGACAUGAACCGGAAUGAUGCAGAGAUGUGUCAGCCACUUGUGGCCGGUUUACAGGUGGUGCAUGGUUGUCGUCAGCUCGUGUCGUGAGAUGUUGGGUUAAGUCCCGCAACGAGCGCAACCCUCGUUCCAUGUUGCCAGCGGGUUAUGCCGGGGACUCAUGGGAGACUGCCGGGGUCAACUCGGAGGAAGGUGGGGACGACGUCAAAUCAUCAUGCCCCUUAUGUCUUGGGCUUCACGCAUGCUACAAUGGCCGGUACAAAGGGUUGCGAUACUGUGAGGUGGAGCUAAUCCCAAAAAGCCGGUCUCAGUUCGGAUUGAGGUCUGCAACUCGACCUCAUGAAGUUGGAGUCGCUAGUAAUCGCAGAUCAG
Molecule: ribosomal RNA, 794 nt
Filed under: uncultured bacterium
Lineage: Bacteria
Description: bacterial SSU rRNA
Rfam family: Bacterial small subunit ribosomal RNA
Source: RNAcentral